Molecule: ribosomal RNA, 807 nt
Filed under: Staphylococcus sp. 9-C-237-4
Lineage: Bacteria; Bacillati; Bacillota; Bacilli; Caryophanales; Staphylococcaceae
Description: bacterial SSU rRNA
Rfam family: Bacterial small subunit ribosomal RNA
Source: RNAcentral
UUAGGUCAGCGGCGGACGGGUGAGUAACACGUGGGUAACCUGCCUGUAAGACUGGGAUAACUCCGGGAAACCGGGGCUAAUACCGGAUGCUUGAUUGAACCGCAUGGUUCAAUNAUNAAAGGUGGCUUUUAGCUACCACUUNCAGAUGGACCCGCGGCGCAUUAGCUAGUUGGUGAGGUAACGGCUCACCAAGGCGACGAUGCGUAGCCGACCUGAGAGGGUGAUCGGCCACACUGGGACUGANACACGGCCCAGACUCCUACGGGAGGCAGCAGUAGGGAAUCUUCCGCAAUGGACGAAAGUCUGACGGANCAACGCCGCGUGAGUGAUGAAGGUUUUCGGAUCGUAAAACUCUGUUGUUAGGGAAGAACAAGUACCGUUCGAAUAGGGCGGNACCUUGACGGUACCUAACCAGAAAGCCACGGCUAACUACGUGCCAGCAGCCGCGGUAAUACGUAGGUGGCAAGCGUUGUCCGGAAUUAUUGGGCGUAAAGCGCGCGCAGGCGGUUUCUUAAGUCUGAUGUGAAAGCCCCCGGCUCAACCGGGGAGGGUCAUUGGAAACUGGGGAACUUGAGUGCAGAAGANGAGAGUGGAAUUCCACGUGUAGCGGUGAAAUGCGUAGAGAUGUGGAGGAACACCAGUGGCGAAGGCGACUCUCUGGUCUGUAACUGACGCUGAGGCGCGAAAGCGUGGGGAGCGAACAGGAUUAGAUACCCUGGUAGUCCACGCCGUAAACGAUGAGUGCUAAGUGUUAGAGGGUUUCCGCCCUUUAGUGCUGCAGCAAACGCAUUAAGCACUCCGCCUGGG